Molecule: ribosomal RNA, 397 nt
Filed under: uncultured bacterium
Lineage: Bacteria
Description: partial 16S ribosomal RNA
Rfam family: Bacterial small subunit ribosomal RNA
Source: RNAcentral
AUACGUAGGGGGCGAGCGUUGUCCGGAAUGAUUGGGCGUAAAGGGCGCGUAGGCGGCCCGGUAAGUCUGGAGUGAAAGUCCUGUUUUUAAGAUGGGAAUUGCUUUGGAUACUGUCGGGCUUGAGUGCAGGAGAGGUAAGUGGAAUUACCAGUGUAGCGGUGAAAUGCGUAGAGAUUGGGAGGAACACCAGUGGCGAAGGCGACUUACUGGACUGUAACUGACGCUGAGGCGCGAAAGUGUGGGGAGCAAACAGGAUUAGAUACCCUGGUAGUCCACACUGUAAACGAUGAAUGCUAGGUGUAGGGGGUAUCGACCCCUUCUGUGCCGCAGUCAACACAAUAAGCAUUCCGCCUGGGGAGUACGGCCGCAAGGUUGAAACUCAAAGGAAUUGGCGGGG